This 468-nucleotide ribosomal RNA is filed under the name uncultured bacterium. RNAcentral describes it as "partial 16S ribosomal RNA". It matches the Rfam family "Bacterial small subunit ribosomal RNA", at positions 28 to 507 of the family's 1533-position model. The record is from RNAcentral.
GACGAACGCUGGCGGCGUGCUUAACACAUGCAAGUCGAACGGAAAGGCCCUGCUUUUGUGGGGUGCUCGAGAGGCGAACGGGUGAGUAUCACGUGAGUAACCUGCCCCUGACUUUGGGAUAACUUCAGGAAACUGGGGCUAAUACAGGAUAGGAGCUCUUGCUGCACGGUGGUGGAUGGAAAGUGUCGGCGGUUGGGGAUGGACUCGCGGCUUAUGAGCUUCUUGGUGGGGUAGUUGCUUACCAAGGCUUCGACGGGUAGCCGGCCUGAGAGGGGUACCGGCCACAUGGGUACUGAGGUACGGCGCAGAAUCCUACGGGAGGCAGCAGUGGAGAGUAUUGCGCAAUGGGCGGAAGCCUGAUGCAGCAACGCCGCGUGCGGGAUGACGGCCUUCGGGUUGUAAACCGCUUUCGCCUGUGACAAAGCGUGAGUGACGGUAAUGGGUAAAGAAGCACCGGCUAACUACGUG